RNAcentral lists this ribosomal RNA (262 nucleotides) under uncultured Spirochaeta sp. RNAcentral describes it as "partial 16S ribosomal RNA". It matches the Rfam family "Bacterial small subunit ribosomal RNA", at positions 1119 to 1382 of the family's 1533-position model. The record is from RNAcentral. Lineage: Bacteria; Pseudomonadati; Spirochaetota; Spirochaetia; Spirochaetales; Spirochaetaceae.
CCACACGAGAGGUGGGGACUCAGGCGGGACGCCGGUGACAAACCGGAGGAAGGUGGGGACGACGUCAAGUCAUCAUGGCCCUUAUGUCCUGGGCUACACACGUGCUACAAUGGCCGGUACAGAGCGCAGCGAGGCCGCGAGGCGGAGCGAAUCGCUUAAAGCCGGUCCCAGUACGGAUUGGAGUCUGCAACCCGACUCCAUGAAGUUGGAAUCGCUAGUAAUCGCGCAUCAGCAUGGCGCGGUGAAUACGUUCCCGGGCCUU